This 301-nucleotide ribosomal RNA is filed under the name uncultured bacterium. RNAcentral describes it as "partial 16S ribosomal RNA". It matches the Rfam family "Bacterial small subunit ribosomal RNA", at positions 509 to 807 of the family's 1533-position model. The record is from RNAcentral.
CAGCAGCCGCGGGAAUACGGAGGGUGCAAGCGUUACUCGGAAUCACUGGGCGUAAAGGACGCGUAGGCGGAUUAUCAAGUCUCUUGUGAAAUCUAACGGCUUAACCGUUAAACUGCUUGGGAAACUGAUAAUCUAGAGUAAGGGAGAGGCAGAUGGAAUUCUUGGUGUAGGGGUAAAAUCCGUAGAUAUCAAGAAGAAUACCUAUUGCGAAGGCGAUCUGCUGGAACUUAACUGACGCUAGUGCGUGAAAGCGUGGGGAGCAAACAGGAUUAGAUACCCCAGUAGUCCCUGUCUCUUAUAC